Molecule: ribosomal RNA, 421 nt
Filed under: Staphylococcus epidermidis NIHLM001
Lineage: Bacteria; Bacillati; Bacillota; Bacilli; Caryophanales; Staphylococcaceae
Description: bacterial SSU rRNA
Rfam family: Bacterial small subunit ribosomal RNA
Source: RNAcentral
UUUUUAUGGAGAGUUUGAUCCUGGCUCAGGAUGAACGCUGGCGGCGUGCCUAAUACAUGCAAGUCGAGCGAACAGACGAGGAGCUUGCUCCUCUGACGUUAGCGGCGGACGGGUGAGUAACACGUGGAUAACCUACCUAUAAGACUGGGAUAACUUCGGGAAACCGGAGCUAAUACCGGAUAAUAUAUUGAACCGCAUGGUUCAAUAGUGAAAGACGGUUUUGCUGUCACUUAUAGAUGGAUCCGCGCCGCAUUAGCUAGUUGGUAAGGUAACGGCUUACCAAGGCAACGAUGCGUAGCCGACCUGAGAGGGUGAUCGGCCACACUGGAACUGAGACACGGUCCAGACUCCUACGGGAGGCAGCAGUAGGGAAUCUUCCGCAAUGGGCGAAAGCCUGACGGAGCAACGCCGCGUGAGUGAU